UUAAAUCAUUCGUUUCCUGUUCAGACGACGGACUUGACACUGCAUAAACACGACGCCGGGGCGUCGAAGCACGAUCUUCUGUCUUCCACGGUUUUGAAGGGUCGACGGCCCGAGGGCCAUUCGGUAAUGAUCCCUCCGCAGGUUCACCUACGGAGA
This 156-nucleotide unclassified non-coding RNA is filed under the name uncultured fungus. RNAcentral describes it as "sequence contains ITS1". Lineage: Eukaryota; Fungi. The record is from RNAcentral.